GGUGGGGGGAGGAGGAGGAGGAUGCUGCUGUUGCUGCUACUGCUGCCGCCGCUCCUGUGGCUGGUUGGAUUUAGCGCUCGUUUGAUUCCCCGCAGGAGGAAAGGAGAUUAAAGCGAGGGGGAAAUGGGGAUGAUAAAUAAAAUCAUUUUUUUGCAAAAACGAGAGGAGGAAAAAACCUCUUUUUUUCUCUCCAGACGCGGAGAAAUUUUUGCACCCCUUCCAUUCACCUCUGGCUUAUUCUGUCCUCGGGAGUUGUCAUGAAAAGGUAAGAGCGGCUCCCUUUAUUUAUUUACUUAAGACACCCCCGUCCGUCCGUCCGUCCCCCCCAAUGCCGAGACAAACGUCCGUCCGGGUGUUGUUGUGCAGGGUCACGGGCAGAGGGAUUGGGGGCUUGGAGGAGGUGGAGGGAGGAGGGGGCUUCUCUGGCACCUCCCCCCCCAGCACCUUUCUCUCUCGUGUGUGUGUGUGUGUGUUUAAAGAAAAGUGAUGGGGGGAGCUUGAACUGCCCCUCUCCAUCAUAUGGAUGAUCUCGAAACACGUCGGACUAAUGUGCAAGCUGUAUCUAGUUGGAGAGAAAAGCCCGCACCCUCUUGAUUUAGGAUUUUGCCCUUUUCCGGGGGGGGGGGGCGAUACCAAGGUUUGACUUCAGACUUCUAACAGCACCCUUUCUCUCUAACACUCCCCCCCCCGACUGGGUUGCAGGGAAAAUAAUAGUGACACCCCCGUUUCUCUUUCCCUCCCUCCUCUCUCGCUCUCUCUCUCUCUGUGUGUGUGUGUGUGUACACGCUCGCGCGCGAUUUGUUUGUGGCAUUAAUCACCCAGACUGCAAGAGUAUGAGAUGCAAAAAAGAAAGAAAGAAAGGCUUUUUGUUGUUGUUGUUUAAAAAACCUUCCUUCUUAUUAUUCUGAAUUAAUUCCAACCUAUGCAACUGCAAAAGAAUAUCAGAGAGACAAGAGGCGUACAGACUUGAUUGCAGCGUCUGGCUUUUCUUAGCAGUCUGUAUUUUUUUUUUUUUUUAGAGAGAGAGAGAGAGGGAGAAAAAAGAAAGAAAGCCAAUUGAAGGGCAUCUACCUUUUUUCCCGUUGAGAGACAAAAAGAAAAGCUAGGAAAGCGGGGCCGGGGGGGGGAUCCCUUCUUUCCCCUUAGAGCGGAGUCUUUUUCUGGUUGUAUUGAACGGCCUCCGUUAAAGCGGCGUAAGGGAAGGGGGGGGGGAAUCUAGCAGGAUCGGGUCCCGCGUUCCCAUGGGAGAGCGGAAGGGUCUGGAGGGGCGAGUGGGAGGAAGGCUCUCCAGGGACCCUCUGGGAGCGGAGCCUAGGCAGUCGGAGCGGAUAGGAGCCAGGAGACUUUGGCAGGAGAAGAGCGCCUAGUGGUUAGUGGGCCCGGGCAGUACUAACGAGGAGCAUAAAGGGGUGCGGUGGGAAAGAGAGCCAAGGCUCCUGGGUCUUCUAGGAGGAGCGCGGGGCUGAGAGCAGGAGGGAGCCCAAAGCAGGAGGGAGCCACUCGAUCCUUCAGGAAGGGAGUGGAUCGCGGUGGUUCAAGUGAGGCAAGGAACCAGACAUCUUCAGAUUUCCACUGGGGGCUGGAGGACUGGAGCAACAGAGCCCCACCCCCCAAAAGGAUUCUCCCACAAAGGGGAGGGGCGCUGGAGAACCUGGGGUGGGUGGUCGACAGUGUGUGAACAUUGCAGGGUUGUGCCCAUUCCCCGAACACACACACACACACACACACACACACACACACGUCCGUCUGGGUCCUAGACGCCAGCGAUGCCACGCGCCCUCUGAAAUUGGGUUUGGAGGUGUGAGAAGAGCCAGAGUCAGGCCCCCGCUUGGGUCUGCCAGAGGAUCUCGCUGGGUGUGAGCUGCAGGACAAAAGGAAGCCCAGCCUGGCCUGCCUGGAUCAGAAGCUAGCUGAGGUGAGAGCGGGGUUGAAAAGCCUGGUGGAGCUGGGGAGGGAAAGGAGACUUUUCCCCAGCGCGGUUUGGUCAAUGAAUGAUCAUGGAGGGACCACACCUCUCAUCACCAGCAGCAGGAAAGCCAGCAGAGGGAAUCUUAAGAUGGCAGUUUGCAAGACCAGGGACGUGUGAAUGGAGGGGUCCCAAGCCAGACCAUGCCAAGGAAGGGGCUGUCUGAAGACGAUUAGGAGGUGUUCAGGUUCCCCACCGGGUGGCAGGCUGGCUCUUACAGAGGUAACUCUCCCUCCCAAAGUGGGGCGGGGAGGGGGGCGUUGAUAGGAGGCUUGCCUAAACUGGCCUCUUAAUAAGGGUUUUGACAGGUAGGAUGGGAGUUAAAGAGGAUUUUAUUUGUGAGCGGGUGGAAAGGCUGGGAUGUUGAGACAGAGAGUGAUUUAUCUACCAUUCAUUAAAAGAAAGGAAAAAUCUGCCAUUUGAACGCCAGGCUGAAGCACAGCAGAAUCCUUUCUGAGUCUGUACUCUGCCCAAAAUGAGUUGGGAAUGGAUGUAUCCGAGAUCUAGCAGCAGAGGUGGGAGAGAACCCAGGCAUCCUGGUUGGCUCAGGCCCCUCCCCCUCCCAAAAUGACAGAGGGGGCUGGUUUCCUAAUUCCAACCCUGGAUGCAGAGGACUGGGUUCCCCUCGCCUUCCCCGUUCUCAACCCAGAAGCCGCCUCCUACGCCACCCCAAGAGUCCAGAUAAGGAGCACACUUCCUUCCCCAUCCUUCCUUGGCUCCAUGUGCCUGAGGAAGAUGACAUCUCUUAGCCUGCCACAUCUGCCUUCCUCCCCAGCAUGCAUGUGUACACGUGCACACAUGCACAGCAGUGGCUCCAUGCUUCCCAUGCACUCGUGGGCCCAAGGGGGAGGUAGGUGGCUUUGCUGGGUGCCAGUCAGUCACUGACUGAAUAGUGGACUGGGAACUGGGAAGGGCACAGAGGUAAGAGAGAGGAACAGAAGGGGGGUGUUGAUGACCAGGCCCCUGAACUCCUUCAUGCAGAAUCCCCUUCCAGCACCUUCUGCUUUUUCCAAAGAAUUCACAAGGUCGUUCCUCACAUGCCCUCCUAGUGCUCAAAUUACUGGGCGGAGUGGGGGGCGGGUGGGUGAGAGGUAUACUCUUUGUGAUGCCUCUCUUUAAAAGGCAUGGUUUGGCUAAAAUGGGAGGAGUCAGGAGGUGGGGCUUGUCCAUUUUAUUAAGGCCCUCUACCCUUACCCUCAUAGUUCAAGCACGGUGCCCUCUCUCCCGCGUAUGUUGGCAUCUGGGCAACUCUUUUCAUACGUAAGGUCUCAUGCCAGCCCAUGGGAACAGCCAUCUAACAGAAAUAGCAGGAAGGUGUGAGUGUGAAAAGGAAUUGAAGGGAAAGAAAAGAGGGGGCCAGGGAAUUUAGGGAGUUGCCUGGCGAAAGGCCACAGAUCCCUUCUUUUUAAGAGGAGGCUUGCGAUUCAGCAUGCAAAGCACUUGCACCACCUAUGAUCCCUCAACAAGGCAGAGGGGCAGAGGCUUGGCUGGAGAACGUGGGCCACAUUCUCAUGACCACUUGCAUGCCAAGCAAAGGGUGAGGCAGUAGGCGAAGAAGGUAAUGUCCACAGGGUGAUGUUUAAUAGAGAGGAGCACGACAAGAGGUGCUGUAACACAGGAAGAAAGGUGGGAACCAUUAUAGGACCUUUGGCGCUUGAGUAAAGAAAUACUGUCUUGUUUGUGUGUGUGUUCCAUUCAGUAUUCCCUUUUCUCUGUCCGGCUGCCUCCUGCUAUGUUCAGGACACCCUUCUCUAAAAAGCUCUCCUCACACUUCAUGCGCAGUCCUUGAAAUGCCUAUGGAACUCAUUGUCACCGGACAAUGCAAAUACGUAGGGAUUCAAAGUGGGUUUUUGUUUUUGAAAGGAAGGGAAUCCUUAGCGAAUAAUGGAGAAUGGGGUAAAACUGAUAGCAGCCAGCAAAGAUGGGUGCAGGAACCAGCCUCUUGCGGAAGACGACUGUGAAGCUGAAUGCAAGGCAGAGGAUAACAUCACUUUGUAAUUACUACUGUGGUUUCCUCAGGAAACAAUGUUUUCCGUGUGGGGAGGUGGGGGCGGAAUCCCUAAGGUGAUGCUGGCUUUUCCGAAAGGAUGUGCGAGCUCCGGCUUUUCUCAUCCUUCUCUCAGCCCAGUUUCUGUUGCAGGUGGGUGUUUUGCUACAGCCUGCAGGCUAGCUGGACCACUUUCCAUCUUUUGUGCAAUCUUGGGGGCAGUCUGUGGCUGCCGGUCACAAAGAUGUUUCUGCCCGCUUUUUCCCUAGGAUUGGAAAUGGGGCCACACAGUGGGCUCCGCAGCUGUGGGGGCUGAAGCGCUAUUUUCCUUGCCGGAUUCUGGAGACUAGAUUAAGAUGGAUCAUUGGUAUGGCCCAGCCUGAUGGUGACUAUGACCUUUGAGUGUGUGCAUCUUUGUCUAUGAGUAUCUGCGCUUGGGACCCCACAUCGUUGGGUGUGUAGUAUCUGAGCGUGUGCUUCUUUUCAUGUGUCUAUGUGGGCUUUUCACACCUGGAGUCUGGCCGUUCACAUGUGAGAUUGCUAGCAUUUUACAAAGCAGGUGUGUCCUUGGCUGUAUCAGUGGCUGUUUCUGCCUUUCCGAUUGUGCAUGUGUGUCAAUGAUCCUCUUUGCUGCUGUUUCAGGUGCAUCAAAGGCUGCCUCUCUUUCCUGAUCACUGUACUGGGGUGUGUGUGUUAAAUCUCACCUGCUGUGUGAACCUGUAUCAGAGGCUGCCUCUCCCUUUUGUGCACAUGGCUUGUUCUCUCCUCUCUGACUGUGCGUGUGGAUCAGUGGCUGCCUCUGCCCUCUGACUGUCUGCUUUGCCGAUUGCCUCCUCUCUUGAUUGUGUGUUGCUUGGGUGACUCUUCUGGCAUGGGUAUAGCUCGGUAUCAAUAACUGUCUCUCUUCAGGUUGUGUGCGCGCGUGGCUGUUUUAGUGCAUCAAAGCAAAUCCCCCCUUUCCUGACUGCCAGCAUUAUUUAGCAUGCAGGGGUUGGCCACAGUUCAACCUCAACGCCCCCCCUCACCCCCGCCGCCUUUCCAGCUCAGCCAUCAAUUCACUCAAUGGACUUGGACCAAUAAGUCUCAGCCAUUCUCAACAUGGCAAUAUUAGUCAUCUACCUCCAGAGGAUGGACUAGGUAAGAAUGGUUAAGCACAUUUGCCCUCUUGGUCUGCUGUGGAUGGUAUUACAAACAAAUGAAGCUGUAUUAUACUGAGCCAGACCACUGGUCCACUUUGCCCAUUUGUUUACCCUGACCAGCAACAGUUCUCUAUCUUUACCGGGAGAUACCAGGGAUUGAACCUGCAACCUCCUGCAUGAAAAGCAGGUGCUCUGCCACUGAGCUACAGCCUUUCCCCUCUCCAUCCUUGGGUCAAGGCAACUGUCUCUGCUGCCUGAGAAAGAGACCACAUGUGUGGUCUCUCCCUCCAAGCACACAGUCGGAAUGGCUUCCUCUCUCCUCCUGCCACUUGUAGAUUUUUCUCACCGGUUGUGCCUUUUCUCCCUUGAAGAGGCGUUGGCUGCUAGAAGAGCCUCCUAGCAACAGAUUAGCUGGUUUGGGUGUGGUCAGUGAGAGAUGCUGAGGCGCACGACUAACUGUGCUGCACAGAUUUAGUGCCCAGAAUGCAUUAGAGUGCCUACAGCAAUGUUAUCUGUUGAGAUUUUAAAUUGUCGAGGUUUGAAAGGUUGGCGGUUUAAUUUAUGUUUUAAAUUUUGCUUAUUGUAAUUUUAUGGUUAUAAGCCCUUUUGAGACCUGCAUGGUAAAAAGUGGGAUAUAAAUUUUUGAAUAAAUAAAUGGUAUACAGUGCAGCACUACUAAUAGUAUUAUUACUAAUAGCAGUAGUACUGUGAACUUGUAUGAGGACGCACACACAACCAGGAAGACACACUGAAUACAGUGGGGACAAGUAAAUAUUUGACACUGCCUGUGGCAACAACAGCCUUCCACCUAUAUUCCCAUGUUUUUCCCAAAUAUACAAUGAAAUUGCAGCAACACAGUUGCAUAGUGAACCCAUCUGUCUUUAAACACCCCGGUAGCUUUAUCUGCAGGCCUUGAGACAGAAUCAAUAGUUUGCCCCCACCAUUUUGCAAGCGGUUUUCAUCAAAUGUACUUCCAGCAACGUAGCUGUGUUCUUUUAAUUAUUGAUAUGUAUGCACCUCGGUGAUUAGUAGUGUGAGUUGAAUGGAGAAUAUACAUAAGCACUGGUUAGUUUGCACAUUCGCUAGGUGCUGUAGUAGACAGUGUACUCAAAUGAAGAGCAUAAACAGGGAACUCUGCAUAUGUGCAAAAACUCAAGUGAUGCUGGGAAAUGUGUGCAAACUUGACGGCAUAUUUCACACACUGGCUGGUCAUGGUGAGUUCACCACUUGGAAAACAUGUACGUUCUCUGGUCAGGUGUGAAAUGCUCAGAUUCACUAAUAUCCCUUAGAGGGCUAUACACAUUGACUGGUCAGUGUACACAAUUCCCAUUUGUUAAGAUAUUCUCCACAUUGUCUAGGGAGCGUGCACAAUUGCCAGCAUUUGUCAGACACAUUUUCCCAUGUUAACCAUAUUUCUGAAAUAUAGAUGCUUUUGUGAGUAGGGUUCAAUCUCUACAUAUCUUCCCCAUGUGGUUGCUAGAGAAUUUUAGGUACAUGAUUUAUCACUGCUCCUUCUUGCAACAGCUACAGUUAAGUAUACUGCCAUAUCUAUUCCCUUGUGCAAAUAUGGACUACUUACCUGCUCUUGGGGUGUUACGUCAUGUUCUCAAAUGCUCUGCUUACCCUCAUUCAAGGAGAUGUUGCCAUCCUACACAAUGUGAAUUGACACCAGAUUCUGCCCUGUCGCUACAUAGCCUCAUGGCUUGUAUGACACAAUUUUUGUCAUGCAGGAUGCCAACAUCUUUUAAGACAAGGGUGAGGAAACGUUAGUCCAACAACUUUGGGGUCGGGGGGCAGCAGCGGCGGAGGACGGGUUCCCCAUAUGCACAUCCUUUAUGCCAUUGUACCAACAGGUCAUUAAACACUGUAACAAUGUUCUACUUCAGACACUACUUAGACAAAACAACAUGGUUGCAUAUUAGCACACAGACCUACUUAGUCGUGCCAUUGUGUUUUGCUGCCAUAAAUACACUUUAAUGUAGUACUUUAAAUAGCUCCUUUGAGAUGAUAGUCCUCACACUGCACCAUUAUACCUAUAUGUUAAUGCGCUUUUAGAUAAUACCUGCCCGCUUUCACGUUCUUCAGGCCCAUAUUAAAAAAUCUAUCUACAAGACAGUAAGCUCUAGGAAGGCCUCAGCUCAGUAGUAGAGAACAUCCUUUGCAUGUUGACGAUCCCAGGUUAAUCCCUGGCAUCUCCAGGCAGGGCUGGGAAGGAUCCCUGUCUAAAACCACAGAGAGAGGCUGCCACUCAGUGGAGGCAAUACUGAGCUAGAUGGACCAGUAGUCUGACUAAGCAUAUGGCAACUUCACUUGCCUUCUAAUGUCUGCAAUUCCACAGCCGACAUCAUUGCACACUAAAUUACUCCAAAUCUGCAACAACUGGGCUGUCAAGCUUUACGAUAAUUUAUAAAUACAUCCCCUAAUUUUUGGCCCUGUUUCUCACACAUGUCAUCAAGGGUACUGUUUUACUCCAUAGCUACACCUUGCUUCUAGAGAGAAGUGUCAUUGCCUUUUAAUGCCCAGGUCGAAAUAAAGGAAACUGUCAUCCUUCCCACCCUUGGACAGAUUCUUUUGACUGUAGCUGCCAAUAUUGAUCUUGUGUGUGCAGCCCAUCCUAUUACAAAGCUCAUCCAGGUCACAGUUUAUCACAGAUACACUCACAACCAAGCAAAAACCUUCUCUGGUUGCAAUGUUUUCCAUGCUGUACACAGGGAUCCUCCUGAAUCUAGUUUUGGGCUGUAGCUCUUACCCCUUCCCCAGACACACUAAUUCAAGCUGCAAGCAAAUACAUGGGAAUAAUUCUAUAGAUAACACCCAUUCAGAAAGAGAUGCCACGAUUGUAAAUGGCUGUAUGAGAGAAAGUGCCUCCUUUUCAACACACUCUGCCCACCCUCCUCUGCAUAUAAUCCAUGGUGUUGUUUAUUAAUACCAUUCUUCAGCCAAACCUACAGGCUCUUUCUGGCAGUGCCAACACUGAUUCUCACCACCGGCCACUUUUUUCAUACAUGCUGUCUCUGUGUUCAUUCACACCCUCUCUCAUUUAUCUCUCACUGCCUGCCGCCCGCACCCUUGUUCCUUCCUGCAAAAAGCAGAGGAUUCUGGGACCAUUGCCGACCCACCCCCUUCCUCCAGGUGCUCCAGUUUCCAGAUCAAGCCAUUAAUGGAUACUUAUGAAAAGCUCCCCCCCCCCCGCCCCAUGCCCGGCUCACGCUCCACUAAAGAGCAAGAGAGUGUGUGGGCUUCACAAAACUGCCAGGCACAGCUGUGCUAGCAAAAGUGGCCUGUUGUCCGGGUUCCAGGAAACAGAGGUGAUCCAGCGCGAGGCAGAGGGUUUUGGCAGCUUUGCAUGGAAUCUGUGCACACACCAAAACAGCUGGGAAAGGGCCUUGCCAAUGGAGGGAAGAAAUGAAAGAGAGUUUGGGAGCAGCUGUUUGGGCAGGGAUUCUCCUUCACCUGGCACUGAGAGGCAAGUGCUAUAAAUUAAGAACGGAGUGGUUUAAGGUGGUAGAGUUUGGGGGGGAGGUAGAUUGCAGAACCCAGGAAGAUUUAGGCCACAAACACCUCACCUAUUAGAAGUUAGUAACUUAGGAGAAGGUUUCUAAAAUGAAAGGUAAUGAGGCUCAAGUCUCUUGUUAGACCCUGAGCCAGAGCAGCCAAAUUGAAGUUUGGCUGAAAUUAUAUAACUGAAAUGCACUCUGCACAUGCUUUAUCACUACUUCACAAACUGAGUAACAGAGGCUCUGGCUGAUCUCUGACUCGGCUUAAAAGUUGGGUAUGGUGAGGUGUGUAGGGCUGCAUAAAAGUAGCAGGUUAGAACUGGGAGAGAAAAGCCCAAAAUGGAGGUGGGAGGGAGGAGUAUUAACCUGGGAUUACCGGGCAUCAGCAGGGAGAGAUUUUGUGCGGGCAAGUCUUGAGUGUGUGCGCGCAUGUGUGGCUUCCAAAUUAAUUACAGUCAGAGAAGAGCCUGUGAGCGUCACUUGAUGGGAUUAAGGGUUUGUGGGAGGCGUGAAAUUGACGCAUGAAACCCUAGACCCUCUCAUCUCCCCUCUGGCCCUGGGAACCUGGUGAUUGGUUCCUCUUGGCUAAUAACUCCCCCCCCCCAUUUCCUUCCCUGGCAGCCUUUCUUGGUUCCCCACUUUUCCUCCCCAAAAAACCUGUCGCAAUCCAGGGGGAUUUUGCUCCUGCAGGCAGCUGGCAGGUGGAAAUGAAACCUGCCGACUUUGAUUAAACCUCUCUGAGGCGUGUGUGUCGUCUCAUCGGUGCUGUGUGUCUCAAAGAGAAGCAGGGGCUGAUCAUCCCAGCAUCACCUUCCCUCUUCCCCAAAUUAGGAUGCCUCACAACUUUCAACACCAACUGUUUGGAUUUAUUUAUUUAUAGUUUAGAAAGUGAAGGGGAUACACGGGCUUUAUAAAGAUGCCCAGUGGGCAGAGAAAGUGGAUACUGAUGAGUUUUUCCUCACUCUCCCCUAACUUGGGGUCACCCAAUUAUGCCAGUUGGUAGGAGGAUCAGGACAGAACGAAGAGUUGCCUCCGUGCAAUGCAUAAUUAACCUGUGGAAUUGCUGCUGCAAAAGGUGUGAGCAAUGUGUUUAGAAGGCUUUAAAGGGGGAUUAGAUUAAUUAAUGGAUGGCAGCCUUUGUGUGGAGCUUCCAGGUUCAGAGGCAGUGCCACUGAAUAACAGUUGCUGGGAAGUAUAAAUGUGGUGAAAGCUUUGUUUGUAGGCUUCCUGGCAGCAUCUGGCUAGCCAGUGUGCAAAAUGGGAGACUAGACUAGUUGAGCCUUUGGUCUGAUAUAAUGGAGCUCUUUUUUCAUUUAUUUCUUGCUUAAGAGAAUCAUGGAGCAGAGAGUGGGACCAAAAGGAUGUACAAUCUACAUAGGCAAAUCACCCCCCAACCCUUUUGCCGCAUUAUAUGGCAACCAGACGCAUCCACAAAGUCACAUCAAGGGGUCACCCAAUAUCAAACUGUUCAUUCAUUCAGUCAUUUCAUAACAUUCAUACACUGCUUGAUUGUAAGACAACAACAACAAUCUCAAUGUGUUUUAUAAAAAGAUAAAACAAUAAAAUUGAAAAAAAGUCACGGCUAUACUUAAAAACAUACAAAAGUUAAAAAAUUCACGGCUAUACUUAAAAACAUACAAAAUUAAAAUGCUAAAGCUGAUUAAAAUCACUUCAACUUCCUAGCUUCUGGGUAGACUUGUCUAAACAAGAAUGUUUUCAGCAGGUGCCCAAAAGAGUACAGUGAAGGCACCUGCUUGAUCUCAAUAGGCAGGGGUUUCCAAAGUGCAUUAAACAAUUGAGUUCUUAUCAUUGUAGAAUGGGUAUAUGUGGCACCUGUAGUAGUGCCAAUUUUGCUGAUCAAAGUGGUUAAGUGGGCAUGUGGAGCAAGAUGAUCUCCUAGGUAAACUGGUCUCAAGUUGUUUAGGGCUUUAUAUGAGGGGUCAGCAAACUUACCGCGCCUCGGGCUGGUGUCUCCAGUGCCGAUCGCGCGGAGGAGCGCGUGCCCAUAUGCGUGCGCACACGCUAUUUCCGGCGCACUUCUGGGUCGGAGGAGCACCGGGAAUAGCUUGUGCGCAUGUGCACGGGCCUCCUCCGACCCGGAUGUGCACUGAAAAUAAUGCUUGGGCAUGUGCAAAUAACGCUUGCACAUGCGCACAAGCUAUUUCCGGUGCUCCUCCGACCCGGAAGUGGGCAGCCGUGCAGCGCAGUGCUGGUAAGAGUGGGCAGCGGGCAGCGGGGGUCGCCGCGGGCCGGAUUAACGAGUCCCUCAGGCUUUAUCCGGUAUGCGGGCCUUAGUUUGGGGACCUCUGCUUUAUAUGCUAAUAGUAGCACCUUGAAUUUGGCCCAGUAGCAAAUUUGCAACCAGUUCAGAUCUCUGAACACAUGUGUUAUAUGCUGACAAGGCCUCACUGAUGUCAGCAAACAUGCUGCAGCAUUCGGCACUAACUGCAGCUUCUGGAUGAAGCGUGAGGGAAGCCCCACAUAGAGCGCAUUGCAGUAAUCCAGUCUUGAAGCAACCAAUGCCUGAACUACUGUGGCAAGGCUUUCCUGGUCCAGGAAUGGCCACAGCUGUCAAAUCAGCUACAGUUGGUAAAAUGUACUUCGAACCACUGAGACUACUUGAGCCUCCAGUGACAGAGCCGAAUCCAGAAGCAUCCCCAAACUGUGAACGUGCUCCUUAAGAGUCAGUGCAGCCCCAUCCAGGGUAGGCAACUGACCAGUUCUUGGACAUAGGAACUACUCUCACACAGUGCCUCAUUGCAGUAAGGCCCUGUAUCCUAUUGUGCUCCAACCUCACCCCAGACCCUCCAACUGCUCUUUUUUUCCAGGGACGUCCCUGAUUUAGAGAAGCCAUCCCAGUUUCUGACUUGAUCCUGGAAUGUCCCACUUAGGAUGUCCCUGUUUUCAUUGGCAAAAUGUUGGAGGGUAUGGAGUUAUCUGACCACUGAGCCAUCUGAAGGCAAUCCUGUACAGUUUUACCUUGGUUGUUGAACGCCUUGGUACUCAGAUGUUUUGGCUCCCAAAUGUCGCAAACCUGGAAGUGAGUGUUCUGGUUUGCAAACAUUCUUUGGAACCUGAACGUCCAACAGGGCUUUCGCAGCUUCCAAUUUGCUGCAGGAGGUUCCUGCAGCCAAUCAGAAGCUGCGCUUUGGUUUCCAAACAUUUUGGAAGUCGAACGGACUUCCAGAACGGAUUCGACUUGCAAGGUACCACUGUACAGGGAAGGUUUUUUCCAUGUUUAAUGUUUUGUUAUGAUACUUUGUAUGUAUGUUGGAAGCUGCCCAGAGGGCUGGGGCAACCCAGUAAGAUGUGUGGGGUAUAAACAGUAAAAUUAUCAUUAUGGAAUGGGACAUCCCUAUUUUCAUUGGAGAAAUAUUGGAGGGUAUGUUACCCCACAAUAAGGAUGCCCAUCAACCCUAACCCAUAGAUGCCUCACACUAUUUUAGCCUUGUUCUACACUGAAGCUGGGCCAUAUUUCUAUCUGAUAGAAGGCUCCAAAAUGUUCUUUUCAGCCCUGCUGUUUGAUAUUCUGUAACUUUGGGGAGGAUGGGAGCUUCAAGAUGGUGUGACAGUGCUAGAUGAAGUUGCAAUGCUGCUCUCUCCAUCCACUUUUGGUUCUGCCCCCACCCAUGGCCCCAAGUUGUCUUUUCUGAUGGCUCAAUGGCCCUUCACAGGGCCCACUAGCUUCAGCCAAAGGUGCCAGGGGGACACAGCCAGGGUCUAUGUUGGACCACUGAACUAUGAGUCUCAGAAUAUCUUUUGGAUCUAGCAGCCGUCCCCUCCAUCUGUACCUUCCAUCCCUCAUGUUCCCCAGACCCUGUGAUUCUGCCCCUCAGACACACGGACCUCACAGUCUUUCCGAAUGCGAAUGCAGGAUCUCCACACCAGAAUCAGCUGCAAUUGCCUUUGAUUUAAACAACAGCACACAACAAACACGGGGGAUUCAAGGAAAGGUCUUUCAAAGCUUUUCCUGCAGAGGACUCGGACGCCUCUCUUGCCCUCCCUCAGCCUUGAGGUGCUUGAGGGUGUCGGCUUCAUUCCUCCAAUACUUCAGCAGCAUUUGUGCUUGUCAUGCCAGUGAAGAAAAAGUAUGUGAGCUUCGCCAAGCCAGUGUCCCUGUUGUAUCCCAGCUGUCCUUGAGUACUAAGCAAGGGAUCCCUGUGUUAACAGCCACCAACCCAAGAGCAGGUGUAGAGGAUUGCUGUGUCCAUAACCCCCUCUCACCCUAGAGGAAAUUUAGGGAACGUUUUUGUGUUUGUAAGUCCUAGCAUUGAGGCAACAAUGGUCUAGUCAAUGCAACCACCCACCUCCACCCCAGAAGCAGCUGCCUUAGUCCCAGGCAAAAGUGUGUUGUCUGCUUGCGGGGUGCGGAGGCUGUUUGCCCUGGUGUGUGGCAUCCACCCGGCGAUGUCAAACACCCGGGGGCCAUGUUCGUUUCUGUGUUCCUCUAACUGAGACGCGCAGAGGAAAGAAAAAGCGAGAAAAAGGACAAAAACGCAGCACGACUCGGGGCCCCGAGGGGAGAGAAAGAAAAGGCAGGAAAAUCAAUAACUCCGGCAGGAACCAAAGAGAGAGGGGAGAGGAGGAAGAAAAGGGAAAAGAAAGGAAAGCUCAUUGAGGGAGUGGGGAGAAGAGGCAGUGCGAGGGAAGUGGGGGCAGAAGUCUUACAGCAAUGGGGGCAGAGUAUUAGGAAGGCCUCUUGCGGUCUUCUGGAGGAUGUGGAAUGCAGGCGAAAGCGUCAGCAAUAGCCGGCUUGCCUUUAUGUGGUGUGGGUGUAAAGGCAGGAGCUGGCUGUGUGUGUGUGUGUGUUAUUUCACAUGCGUUUAUUUAAGAGCUGAGACUUUGUCCAUUCUAUGGACUGCUUUGCAACAGUGAAAUUCCUACAUGCAGGGGGCCUAGGAACAUAGGAAGCUGCCUUUUACAGAGUCAGGACCCAGAUGACUAUCUAGCUCAGCACUGUCUACACUGACUGGCAGCAGCUCUCUAGGAUUUCAGGCAGGGUUUUCUCCCAGCCCUAUGUGGAAAGGCUGGGAACUGAACCCUCUCUGUGCAAAGUGGGUGCUCAACCAUUGGGCUAGGGCAUAUUAAUUCCUACACAGAAAUGGCAUCUCUAUAAGAAUUUAUUCUUCUUAUUAUAUAUUUACCCUGUUUGGUGUACGUGGUUCUUCCCUCCCCUGUUUUAUACUGACAACAACCCUGUGAGGGAGUGGGGAAAGAGAAGGGGUCCAUGGGUUUAGCGGCUGAGUGGGGAUUUGACACUCUAGUCACUAGACCUGGCUCUUCACCCUUCACAUCUUGGCCAAUGUAAAGGAGUCUCGGGGGGGGGGGGGGAAGAGGGCAGCUAUUUAUUCCUAGUCCCCAUGUGGGUACAUGGUGCACUGCUCACUAUUCAUAAUUUACAGAGCACUUUUAAAAAAUCGACUUUCCAAUCUACAUUGCUUUCACAAACAAGCCUGCAAGGAAGCAGAUUAUCAGUAGUCCCAUUUUACAGAUGGGACAAAUAGGGCUGCGGGAAAAACAGCUUACCCAAGGCUGUACUAGUGAUCUGUGGCAGAGACGCCUCUUGGACCAGCUCUCUAACCACUAGGCAUUGUCAUAUCUAUUCACCCACCCUUAUUCUUUUCCCUCUUUGGGGUCUGUAAGAUGGUAUGGUCUCCGUGUCUGUUCCUGAUAGUGGUAGGGUGACAGGAGCAUGAAGGGGGGAAGAAAGGGGGGGUCUUUGCUUGCUGAAGGCCCUGAUGAGCCGGGCAGAGCGCCGGCUUCUGAUUGCACUCCCAGGAAUAGAAACACUUCUGUGAUUGCGGAAAUUACUGUCUCCUCAGCAAAGAGGCACAGGGGAUAUAUGGGCUUAACCUCCUCUCUUCCAACUGAGAUCAUACUUGUAUUCCCACUUACCCUGGUGUCAAGCCUUGUUUUCAUGUGGCCCCAGGGUAGACCAAGGAAGCCCAUGCGUUUCAGUAUUUAGCCUUCUGUGGUGAAUGUGUGGGUUGACAGAAAUGGUCUAAAUACAGACAUAUGUGUAUGUUUGCUUGCCUGAGUGUUGUUAACAUCAGGGUUUUUGACUAUGUAUACGGUAUUGCAGUUUUAAAAACCCUGGUGUCAAAGAAAAAGUCAUUGUUCUGUUUACUAGCAGAUGUCUGCAAGCCAACCUCAAAGCAGGGUCACCUGAGGGAAAAGAAAGCUAGUGGACGAACAGAACCCUGCCCCUAGUAUGUGGGGAAAGAAGGGAACUAUCCGGGAUAUAAUCAGCAAUUACUAGAACACACUGGGUGCUCAAUACGGUGUGGCCAUCAAUAUACUUCCCAGCAGAUUUGUGCCAGAUAUUGCUAGUAAGAGGUUCCAAUCCUGGCCUGACUGCACUGGCUGCCAAUUAGUUUCCAGGCCCAAUUCAAAGUGCUGGUGUUGACCUAUAAAGCCUUACACUGCUCAGGACCUCAAUACCCAGAGAGGCUCACCCAGUCCCAUCAUUACAUGUCUUUAGGCACCAGGCAAAAACGUUCCUCUUUACCCAGGCCUUUGGCCAUUAAAUAAUCUAGGGACUGUUAAAGCAGGUUUGUGUGUCUAUUAUUAUGAUUAUAUGAUGAUGAUGAUGACGAUGCUAUCUAUUAUUAUGUUUUUUAUUGUGCUCCAUAAAAUAUAUUCUUAAUGUUGUACACCACUUUGGAAUCUUUUGAUAAAGGGCGAUAUAUAAAUACAGUGGUACCUCGGGUUAAGUACUUAAUUCAUUCCAGAGGUCUGUUCUUAACCUGAAACUGUUCUUAACCUGAAGCACCACUUUAGCUAAUGGGGCCUCCCGCUGCUGCCGCACCGCUGGAGCACAAUUUCUGUUCUCAUCCUGAAGCAAAGUUCUUAACCCGAGGUAAUAUUUCUGGGUUAGCGGAGUCUGUAACAUGAAGCGUAUGUAACGUGAAGCAUAUGUAACCCGAGGUACUACUGUAGUAGUAGUAGUAGUAAUGUGUAUGCAUGGGAAGAAGCCACAGCUCAGUGGCUUUGGAACAUAGUGUGUGGUGCCAGCUAGAGGGUAGGGGGCAGGGUGUUUGUACCCGGUGAUCGCAAGAUCAUAGCUUUGUGUUCCAAAUUAAUUAACUCCGAUUGCUUACACAGCAGCCCUUUUAUCUGGAAGAUCUGCCAUCUUUGGAUCAUUCACUUUUCACUGAGCAUCCAGACAUAUUUGUCUUUCUGUUGAAUCCCGGUGUUUUCUUCCCAUGUUUCUUCAGACCUGAUCUGUGAUCAUCAUCAUUAUUUUUGGUAAUAAAACUUAAUUGUAGCAGCCGCCGCCGAUCUAGUUUGUUAGGCAAAGCAGUACUGAGACAUAAGCAGCAGUGGAGCCCUCCUGCCACCAGCAGCACCGCAGCUUACCUUGAGGGAGCUGGGACGGGGGGGGGGGCUUAGCAUGGGCAAGACUAGGGCUGCACAGAUGCACUGGCAGAACCGAACUUGUGCUCCUGCUGGUGCGUCUGUGCGACCUGGACCUUCUCUUUGCCCCAACUUUGCCCGGGUAAGCUGCAGUGGUGCCAGAGGGAGGGCGUCUCUGUGGCUCUGCCCCACCGCACCAACUGCUACUGCUUUUCAGUCAAGGGAUGGGGAACCAAUGGCCUUCCAGAUGUUGCAGGACUACACCUCCCAUCAUCCCUGGCCAUGCUGGCUGUGGCUGACAGGAGCUGUAGUCCAGCAACAUCUGGAGGGCCACUUGUCCCCCCCCUGUUUUAAGUCCCUAUUUGUCUUAAAUUAAAGGAUUCCUAAUUACAGGUUCAUCCUGUUUUAUUGCUUCCUGAUGUGCAUGGGAGCAGAUUAGAGGUGAAUAGUCUUUAAUACACCUUUAAUCUGCUCCCAUGCAUCGUAAUUGCCACUUGGAUAGUCUCUUGGAUUUGCUCCAGUGCUAAUUUCUGUUCUGGGGUGGGGUGGGGGGAGGCUUUAUAUAUAGUUAUUUCACUAUAAAAAUGAAGUGGGGGGAAUAAUGAAAGGAAAUCAAUAAUUAAGGUCUCCCCCAUCAGAACAGACUCUGACACUGAAGCAAAUCAGAGAGGAUAUUCAAGGGACAAUUAAGAGGCUAUUCAUCACUACUCCCCCAUCAACCCUCAUCAGGGAAAAAAAAAAUAAAGCAGGCUGAAUGUACAAGGAGGAAACUUUUAAUUAAUGUUGCCGGUAUCCUCUGCUGAAGGGAUGUGGAGCCUGUGCCAUCCUCCCCCCCCCCCCGAGAUGCUGCUGGACUACAACUCCCAUCAUCCCUGACCACUGGCUUUGCUGGCUGGGGCUGGUGGGAGCUGGGAGUCCAAUGAUAUCUAGAGGACUUACUGAAUAGUACUUACUUGUGAGUAAACAUGAUGGGAGGAUCUUAACCAUGGGGAAGUGCAUUCCUGCAUAAUACAGUGGUACCUCGGGUUACAUAUGCUUCAGGUUACAGACUCCGCUAACGCAGAAAUAGUACCUAAGGUUAAGAACUUUGCUUCAGGAUGAGAACAGAAAUCGUGUGGCAGCAGUGCGGCAGCAGUGGGAGGCUGCAUUAGCUAAAGUGGUGCUUCAGGUUAAGAACAGCUUCAGGUUAAGAACAGACCUCCAGAACGAAAUAAGUACAUAACCAGAGGUACCACUGUACAGUGCUACACUGUCCUGAGCUUUGAGCUGCCAUUCCACCUGGCUGCAGCAGAGGAAGAGAGUGGCCAGUGCGGUGCUGUUGCCCUCCCAAGAGUGGCAUUACCAGGAUGGGGGUGGCAAGGUUGGGGCUGUGCAGUCCCGCUGGUGGUACCAAUCUGGUGCACAGACCUAACCUUGCCACCCCAUGCCCAUCCUGGCCUGUUAAGUGGCAGCAACACUGCUGCUGAGAGGGCCCACGGGGCAGAGAGGCCCACAUCAUUGGUUAGCCUGUGGGGCCAGCUGGCAUUUGGUUCAUUCUCGCUCUGAACUGUUUCCAUUCAAGCUGGCAAUUAUAAGAACAAUUAUGCGACUUUAAUAACUUGUCCCUGAGUUUGCUUGUUUCAGAUAGUAAGGCUGUGUGGGGAGAACCUGCUUUGUUUUUAAUUGGUGAUUAGUAUAUUUUAGGCAUUUAAAAAUAAUGUGAUUGAAUGGAGCUUCUGUGGAAGCUGUUUAAAAUCUGUUUCUAUCCAAUUGCGGAAAAGCAGGGCUUUUCAGCUGUGCUAAGCUUAGGGCCCUGGCAUGGAAGCAACCUCAGAAUCAUGAUGGUUGCUUGGCUCUCUCCUGCAACUAGUAACGCAGAUUGGCCUGGACAUUCCACAUAUGAUCUACUGCAGCAGUGGAGGGGAAACUUCCCAUUUCGCCACAUUCUAAACCCCUGCAAUGAAGUAUGUAAAAAAGGGGCAGCUGAGAAGAGAGCUAAAUUGUCCAUAUGAAGUGAUCUUACGAUUGUCGUUUGGAUAUAUGAAGAGAGAUGCUACUGCAUAGCGGCACUGUUGUGCGUUUGCACCUAUGCCUCCUCAGAAAAGUGUUUGGCUGUCAUGCGUGGCAUAAAAAUGCACUGUGUCUGUGUAUGUGUGUUAGUCUGAGGUGUGGUUAUAAUUGGGUUUGUCAUCUGGCGAGCUGUGAUGUGUUAGGGAGCUCAGCAUAAAUGUAAGAAGGGUUCCCUGACAAGUAGGCAUAAAGUGUUCUUCUUUAGCCGUGUAUUUCCAAACUGGGAAUUAAGCACUAUCUGACCUGCUUCAUUCCUGCUUGUUUUAAGGCGCUGGUUUCUAUUUUGGUUUUUAUGGUAAUUAUUUACUGUUUUAUUGGGAGUUGUAUAACUUCAUAAUAUGUGAUUUUUGUGACUGUAAGUGGCCUGGAGCGGUUAUGCUGAAACAGGAUAUAAAUUUAAUGAAGAACAAUAUUAAUACGCAAGUGUCAAUGCUUCCAUGGGAGCCUGCAAAAAGCUUCACCUGCUGUUUGUGGAUGUUUGGAAAGCUUCACCUAUAUAUAUUUACUGUCUGGCAUGUGUAUAACCCAUUAAAGUUCCUGAUGGUUUUUAUUGUUUCCACCAACACCCUGUAAGCAGUGCUGCAAAUAAUUCUCAAUACUGGAGCUUCCUGUCCCUCUCUGCUCCCCUCCUACCCAUGCCUAACCUACUGCUCUUUGCUGCUGCUUCUCUUGCCCUAUCACAGCUUCCACUGUGAGCUCGUAUUUGCAGAUUCAGAAAUGAUGCCCCCUUGUCAAGUGAGACAGAGUCGUUGCUGUGCUUUGCUAUCUUCCUGGCACAAGGAGUCAAUGGGAGGCUCUCUUUCCCCUCUUCAAGCUACAGAGGAAAGGGCACCAAUCCGGGGGUGGGGGGAGAGGGAGGGAGUGUGCCCACUCCAUGAGUUAAACACUGUUCUAUCAUUGUUUCCUCACUCACAUUAUAUUGCCAGUAACUCUUCAGGAUAAGAAUGAUGGUGAGUAAAGUCACAUGUAGCUCUUCCAUACAGCCUGUGUGCAUUUGCCUUGUUAAUAACCUGGAGGCAACCAGGCAAGUGGAUAACUGUAAGCUUGUCUGUGAGGUAGAUCCAUUUGACAGACGGCAAAACUGAGGACAAAAGGAACUUGCCCAGAUACUUUUGGUCUAAGCAGGAACAGGCUGAGGACUCCUGAGUCCUGUUCUUUGUCCACUGGGCCACAUGGGCUGGUGUGUGUGUUUGUGUGACUUUCCCUUUGGACGAGAGUGUGGUUUUCUAUUUUGCUACAAAAUAUUGCCAUUCCACUUUUCCAUUAAUAAUGCUCAGAACAGCUAGUGUGAUUUUUAAAAGAGAUGAUCAAGGCAAAACCGAACCAAAUAAUUGUAUCCCUGGAUGCAUGGGUCAGUGUGCAUGAGCAAGCAAGGGUGGUGUUCAUGUUACUAGGUGCUGAUGGAGAUGGCUGGGGCCACACUUGCAAAAUUUGCAUUGCUGCAAUGGAGGGAGCCUGUGUGUGUGUGUGUGUGUGUGUGUGUGAGAGAGAGAGAGAGAGAGAGAGAGCGCACCCAUGUAUCUAUAUAGUCAUCUGCAGUAUGUGGGGCUCUGUGUAUGCUUGCAUCUACAUACAGAGUGUGCCUCUCUCUAGCUUCCUCCCCAGUCACCAGUCAUGGGCAUUUAGCACCUGCUGUCCAGGCUCUAUAUCCUGGUACUUCCUGCCUUGGCACCAUUUGGUUCCCCUGCUGGUAUCACAGCUUCUCAGGUAAUCAGAGCCCAGAGGAGAUGGGGAUGACAAGCAAGCUCUGUGCCAGGGAUUUGUGUAAUGUUCCCUUCUCAGCAAACACCUGGUAGGAAUUAUCCCCACAUUUCUGCCCAGUUCAGCAGCUGCUAUAUGCCCCCCUUCAAUCAGCUUGCCCUAGGGAGCCAAUUGAUGAUCACCAUGCUAUUGCCAGGAUUACAAACAGGGCUAUGGGAGGAGCAUGUCGGGAUGGAGAUCUGUGCACUGGUAGCAAGGAAGUCAGACCUCUAAACUGACCUCAAGCAGGUUACCUGUACAGGGCAACCUCCACCAGUAGGCUGGUGACAAGCCACAGUUGGAAAACCCAUCUCUAUUGGGUUUAGGACAAUCAGGCAUGUUCAGAGUCUGAUUUCCAGGUCCUGUCUAAGUCCAGGAAUGCAGUCCAUACAAAAAAGAAGCAUGAGGUGGUGAACAACAAUGAGGCAUGUAUGGAUGUGUAGACCUUGAGACCCAACCACUGGUGCCAAGAAAUGCCUCUUCAGAUCCCAGAUAGAUGAAGCAGAGAACCACAUGGUGCGUUCCAUUCAGGAUCAGUAUAUUAUCUGUGCUUUGGAGAAGAUUAGCGCCCUGAUCAGGGAAAAUAUGGGAUGCUCAGUCCUUGUGAUACAGGAAGUAAGAGGAACCCUGCUGAAUCAGUGCAAAGGCCCAUCUAAGUCCAGCAUUCUGUUUCCCCUAAAGGCCAAGCAGAUGCCUAUGAGAAGCCCACAAGCAGGACGUAAGACCAACAGCACUCCUGCUGCUGUUCCCUAGCGACUAAUAAUCAUAGGCCUACUGCCUCCAAUUCUGGAAGCAGCAUAUAGCCAUCAUGACUGGUAGCCAUUUAUAGAGGCUUUGCAUUUUAAAGGGGCAAUGACCAGGUUUGGGGAGCAGGUGCCUAUUCAGCUCAGUGAGGAGUGUGAGGGAGGACUUUGAUGGUUUGCCUAGUGGUGCUUGGGAUACCCAGGUCAGAGGAUGCUUCUGGGCACGAAGGCCAAUUUAGGAGGAUAAGUCAUAGCAGCAGCCUCUAAGGACCAGCUGACUAUACACUCCAGGGUGGUGGGUGGUGGUGGGAGCCUUGAGCCAAUGUGACACACGUUAACAUAAACCAAUAGUGGGCACUCUGGAAUGUAUGAGAAAUCCAGACUGGAACUGGCAACCACAAAAGCAGGCAAGGGCAGGCAGGGGACAAGGUGGGGAAAGUGGCAUUAAGGUGGCUGGAGAGGUCCAGGCAGUGGUGUAGUGAAACAGGAGUGGGAGGAAAACAGAGCCUUUUUUCAAAGCAGGAACAAUAACAUCAUCUGCCAGACUCCACACACACACCCCUCCAAGAGCAGGAGGAAUAACAUCAUCUGCCAGGGUAACUGACAUCUUCCUUGAUCUGCCAAGUGAAUGAAGCAAUAACAAGGCUUUCAGCUUUUACUAUUGCUUGUGAAAGAUUAGUCAAGGAAGGAAUCAGGACAGCAGGUAGCAUGGAAAGUGUGAGGACAUAUGUUAUAGAUUUUUGGGGUAUAGAUUAUGACAACUUCCCAUGGGGCAAUUGUAUCAUUAAGGGGAAGGAGAACUAGUGGAAUCCAAUCUUGGCUUUAUAUUCACUGAGUGGGAAGAGUUCACAUGGGUUUCAGGAGCCAUUCCCGGUGCUUCUCCAAACUGCACAGCCAGAAGCCUACAGCCACUGAGGCCAUCACCUGAAAGGUGGUUCACCUGCAGAACACCAAGCCUUCCUAUUAUCCUUUGGGUCACAGAGACGAGAUAGUCUGGCCAGAGGGAAUUCUGGUCUGAGAUCAAAUGGUAAUUCAGUUUGCAUUUCCUGUUUCAGGUUUGUAGUUCCUUAUUAUGGACUUGGGGAAAUCAACCAUACCAAGGGCUGGCCUUACCACAAAGCAGCAAGAAGCAGUUGCUUUGGAGCACAAAUGGCAGGAGAGGCAACAUUCUAGUACAAAUCUCAAUAAAAGAAAAUGUCUGACAGAUCCAGCAUUCUAGGCAUGAACACCAAAGCAGAUUGAGAUCCGUUUUCAGAUAAGCUUGGACAAAACCUCCCUGGUUAACCUUCUGAAUUCAAAAUGCCUGGAUUUGGCAAGAGUCUGAUGCAAUUUUGCCUAUUUUACUGCAGGGAAAUAUCUGUUGGCGCUGUUGUCCUCAGUGGGGCUUUAGCCUGUUGGUUUUUCUCCCUACUGUGACCAGCGAUUUUGCCAGGUGGCAAUAGACCAGGAGCCAGAAACUUGUUCAACACUGCGGACUGCAUCAAAAUAAUAUCAUGAGCCAGAGGGCCAUAUCUAAUUUGCAUAUUAGAGCAGCACAUAAUUAACAUACUUGGCAUAGGAUUUCCCUAAAUGUGGCAAGUGGUGGCCAUAUUAUUAUAAACUAUAAUCCCCAUAGCACUUAGUAUGUGUGAAGGGUUUUGGAGUAUCUGUCCAUCUCUUUGAUCCUCACUGCAACUUGGUGAGGUGUCCCAUUGGCAUCCUUGUCGCAGUCUGCUUUGGGAAGCAAGGUAACUUUUGAAAGUGAGGAGGGGAUCUGGCUGCCACUUUCCAAUGUACAGUAAUGAUUUCCAGAAGGAUAUCUGUGUUGGUCUGUCGCAGCAAAAAACAACAAAGGUUUUAUGGCACCUUAAAAGAUCGAAAGAUUUAUUACAGCAUAAGCCUUCAUGGACUAGAGUCCACCUUUUAAUGUGGACAUUAUGGGCAAUCUUCUUGACCAUUCAACUCUUCAAAAAAGGAGCAAAACAUACAGCCUCCAGGGACUUAACUACAAUUGUAUCUGGUCAUGUUGUUCCAAUUGUCUCAAUACAAAUGUUAGAGAACAGGUCUUUACUGCCUCUUAUUAUCCUAUGCAGCAAGUUUAUUUCUCAGAAUGGGUAUGACAAGCAAAACACCACUGUGCACUGCAUUGCUUCUCAACAAAUCACCCUUAUUAUUCCCCCCCUUUUGUUUGUUUAGAAAGCAUACUUGCUGUUGCUCUUUCUUGCCUCCAGUAGUUUUUGCUCCAGCCUAAGUACCAUAUUUUACCUUCACAUCCAUCUAUAAGAGGUUUUCUGUGCUUUUUUUAAGGGAGCUCCUAAACUGUGAAGCAUCUGUACAUUUUUUUCAGGGAAGAAAGAGAGACAGGUUCCUCUCCCUGACCUUGAAGGUUCCACUUCCUCGUCCCAAGUACUUGACUCAUAAUUAAAGUAAUGUAAAGAAUCGCCAAGCA
Non-coding RNA from Podarcis lilfordi (Lilford's wall lizard), 22905 nucleotides. The record is from the annotation of a GenBank genome assembly. Lineage: Eukaryota; Metazoa; Chordata; Lepidosauria; Squamata; Lacertidae.